AUACCAGGGGCGGGUGCCGGAACCUUGCCCGAGGGACCUGGUGGUCCAGUCCAUGCUACACUGGGUGCCCCAGGUCAAGAGCUUCACAGCAACAAGAGGCUGGUCCAGGGUGAUGUGCUCCACGUGGCAGGCGUGGAGGGCUUUGACCUGAGGGGGGACUUCCAACACCAGCCAGGCCUGUUAGUCUUGUUGAUGCGGCUCCAGGGAAGAGGAAGCCAGACUGUGUUCUAGCUUUCAUGGGAUCUCUUGGAUGUAAAGCUCAGCGCUCCAGGUUUUGCAGAUUCAGAUCAGGGUCUCCAUGAAGAUGUCCUCCCUGGCCUUCUGAAGUUGGCUCUCCUUCUCCCAGUCCUCCAUUCCUUCCAGCUGGCUCCAUGGUUCCAGGGGCUCAGCCUUCCUGCUGUUGCUGUCAUAGCGGAAGAAGGCCUGGUCGUUGAGGUGAUGACAUUGGAGGCCACAGGAUGAAACAAAAGUGUCCCAGGAUACAAACAGUCUGGUCUGGAUUCCUGAGUCCGCCCCGCCCGCCGCCCCCCCAACCCCGGAGGGAAGGGAAACUGCCUAGUCUGUAUUCAACUUUACAUGACCUAGAAAUAAACAUUUGUUGGUUAAGUCACUAAAAAC
Talpa occidentalis (Iberian mole) is the source of this 618-nucleotide long non-coding RNA. RefSeq lists it as uncharacterized. The record is from RefSeq and is a predicted model, not a curated record. The transcript is spliced from 5 exons. NCBI's taxonomy places the organism in Eukaryota, Metazoa, Chordata, Mammalia, Eulipotyphla, Talpidae.